This 526-nucleotide ribosomal RNA is filed under the name uncultured Glomus. RNAcentral's name for it is "SSU rRNA". It matches the Rfam family "Eukaryotic small subunit ribosomal RNA", at positions 561 to 1092 of the family's 1831-position model. The record is from RNAcentral. Lineage: Eukaryota; Fungi; Glomeromycota; Glomeromycetes; Glomerales; Glomeraceae.
CUGGUGCCAGCAGCCGCGGUAAUUCCAGCUCCAAUAGCGUAUAUUAAAGUUGUUGCAGUUAAAAAGCUCGUAGUUGAAUUUCGGGAUUAGUGCGCCGGUCGUGCCUUCGGUAUGUACUGGUGUUACUGGUUCCUACCUUCUGACGAACUGUCAUGUCAUUAAUUUGGUGUGGCGGGAAUCAGGACUGUUACUUUGAAAAAUUAGAGUGUUUAAAGCAGGCUCGCGCUUGAAUACAUUAGCAUGGAAUAAUGAAAUAGGACGUUCGAUCCUAUUUUGUUGGUUUCUAGGAUUGACGUAAUGAUUAAUAGGGAUAGUUGGGGGCAUUAGUAUUCAAUUGUCAGAGGUGAAAUUCUUGGAUUUAUUGAAGACUAACUACUGCGAAAGCAUUUGCCAAGGAUGUUUUCAUUAAUCAAGAACGAAAGUUAGGGGAUCGAAGACGAUCAGAUACCGUCGUAGUCUUAACCAUAAACUAUGCCGACUAGGGAUCGGAUGAUGUUAUUUUUAAUGACUCAUUCGGCGCCUUACG